Molecule: ribosomal RNA, 253 nt
Filed under: uncultured bacterium
Lineage: Bacteria
Description: partial 16S ribosomal RNA
Rfam family: Bacterial small subunit ribosomal RNA
Source: RNAcentral
UACGUAGGGAGCGAGCGUUGUCCGGAAUUAUUGGGCGUAAAGGGCUCGUAGGCGGUUUGUCACGUCGGGAGUGAAAACUCGGGGCUUAACCCCGAGCCUGCUUCCGAUACGGGCAGACUAGAGGUAUGCAGGGGAGAACGGAAUUCCUGGUGUAGCGGUGAAAUGCGCAGAUAUCAGGAGGAACACCGGUGGCGAAGGCGGUUCUCUGGGCAUUACCUGACGCUGAGGAGCGAAAGCCAGGGGAGCAAACGGG